CUCCAACGGCGUCUGCCAGCUUCUCUGUCAGCACGCCUGCACCAGCUCACAAUAAUGGCUGCCACCAAUGUCUCAGUCCCUAGAGAAGUCUCACCUCUAACUGAGAUUCACCCAGAGCCUAUCAGAGAGAAGCAGCUGCCUCCAUCCCUCCGAUUUUCUCUAGCAGUCUAGACAACCUAUGAUGCCCAGAAAUUUGGACUGCUGUCUGCAAGUGGAAAGACAAAGCUACACAUCGAUUGGGCGGUCAUGACAGCAGUUGGCCAGCUGCUGGUCCAUCCACAAGUCUUACAACAAUCCAACAGGGCUAUUUUGGAAUUGGAACAGAGCAAAACUAAAGUAGAAGGACUUUUGCAAGGCCCCAAGAUGUAGCUGUAAUUAAGAGGUCCAGAUGCAAAUCCCAUCAUCCAAGAGAUUUCCUCAAAAUAUGGAAUAAUGUGGAAAGCCUUUUUGAAAUGGCUGGGCAGAUGGCAGCGAGAGGACCUGGGCUGUGCAAGAGGCCAGUGGCUGCGUUCCUCAGCACUCAGGAGGAUUUCAAAGUGCCCAGGACCUGAGCGCCUGGGCCCUUCCAGGAGCUGUUGCCACGUGGAGACCACAAACUUGCUCCUGUGCUCAGAACUGCAGCUAUCUCUUCAUAAGCCCAUGCCCUGGGGCUUGGAGGAUGAAAACUGCUCCCCAAGAUGCCACCUUUAAAAACAGAAUGAAGCAUCUGCUCUGACAGCCUCUGGCUUGUUGGUAGCCUAUCCUAGUGGAAACAAGGAGUUGUUCUAACUUACCUUAGAGCAAAUCCCUGGUUCUCAACCCGACUGUUCAACCCUGGGACACUGAAAGAAAUACAGAGGCCCAGGCCCCACCUGGGCCUGCUCAGCCCAGCUCUCUCAGGUCAGGUCCUUUCAUGAUUCAGGUGAGCAGCCCAGGCUAGGAACUACGGGAAUCGGCUCUCGGAUUAGAAGUGAGGAUCUUCCAUUUUCAGUACGACAACCGGCCAUUUCUACACCAAGCAAGCAGAGGAUUGCUCAGCUUUUGCACUGCUGUCUUCUCAAGAACAAGUCAAGGACCACUGCAACAGCUUGGAACCUGGGCAUGAUUUCCUGGGUGAGGAGCAUUGCUCCCUGAGAGCAGGGUCAGCAGAAAGAGAGGUCCUGGCUCUUUUACUUGGUGACAUCCUGCAGUGAGCACAGCCCUAGUGAAGGACUGGUCCUAACCUUGACUCCCCCUGGUGUAAACACCUUGAAAUAUCCAGAGAAUGGGGCACAUCAGUUAAAUCAGUUGCAUUUAAUGGGCCUUUGCCGGCAGUGAGCUCCUGGGUUUCCCUGCGUCACUUCAGUGCCACCUGCGUGAAUGAAAGGCUGCCAAGUUAGACCUGCCCGUUGAAUUAAACCCGCAAUCUCAUUCUUCUCAAUAGCUGUGUCCUUGUGAUGCUUUGCCCUAUGCAGGCUAACCCUAGGAGCCCAGUAGGAACUCCUGUUUCUGCAAUGCCAAUUUGCCUAGGAGGUUGGGUGUACCAGCAAAAAUCUGUCUUUGAUCGCCAGAUAAUUCAGAUAGGCACAUAUAAUUGUAUAGAAACCAUUUCCUUCUGGCAGUGGAUUGUAGAGGGGAACAUUCUGGCUAAGGAGCUAUGAAACUGUUGGCUGCAGUAUAAAUGAGAUUCCACUCUGAGUUUGUGGUGACAAGCGACCUUUUCUGACCUGUAGCCCAUGCAGCAGUUAUCUCUUAAAUUUGAGCAUUUGACCCAGAAGGUAGUUCUCAUUCCUUCAAAUCCAUGGACUCGUGGUAUACGGGCCUUCACAUUCUGGUUCAGUGCCCUAGCUUUACCCCCAAGAGAGUGAAAACUUCAAGAGUUUGUCAGUGAUUAAAAUACAAGUACGCAUGCAUGCACGCACACAUCUUAUUUUCAGACUCCUAUGACACUGUAAUGCUUCCAAACUGAUGUCGGAAUCUAACUAAAUGAAAAUAUUUGUCAUCUGUCGUGUAGUAGUCAGGAUAGAGUAGGAUAGGAUGUCGUAACAGAACCCCUCAAAACUCAGUGGCUUAAACCUCAAAGCUUUAUUUUUCAAUCACCUUCCAAGUGAGUGGCAGAGAGUUCAUUCUUCAUUGUUACUCAAGAACUGAGGCUGCUGGAGGCACCACCAUCUUGACGUGGAGUAUUUGCCACUGCGUUGGGCUCUCACACCUUCUCAGUGUCAUUCGGGAAGCCACGUUCAUCACUUAUGCUCUCAUCCCACUGGAAAGAACUGCACAGGGGCCCUGGUUGCAGGUGGUCCAUGGAUUUGAAGUUGUGCUGAGGAAGAGAGGAGAGCCGUAUGUGG
RNAcentral lists this long non-coding RNA (2306 nucleotides) under Equus asinus (donkey). RNAcentral's name for it is "lncRNA (ENSEASG00005033239.1)". Lineage: Eukaryota; Metazoa; Chordata; Mammalia; Perissodactyla; Equidae. The record is from RNAcentral.